GCAACUGGAAAAGGAAAAGGUUA
Molecule: non-coding RNA, 23 nt
Filed under: Arabidopsis thaliana (thale cress)
Lineage: Eukaryota; Viridiplantae; Streptophyta; Magnoliopsida; Brassicales; Brassicaceae
Source: RNAcentral